GUUGUAUAUAUAUAAUACUGUAAUCUCUCUGUUAAUAUCAGGUUAUACUGUUGCCAUCGAUUGCUUCGGAACAACAUGCAACGUGGAUCAACAGUUUUGCCAGAUUAUGCUCAAGUCACAGACAGGGCAAUGUUAUACUCAUCAUGGACAAGGGCACCACGAAGACCAUCAGUCAUGCAUUGGUGCUCAUCACCCUGGGGACCAUUGUUUCUGCAAAGAUCAAGCUUGUGUAUCCCAAAUUACUAGAGAAUGGGCCUCUGGGUCAACGACUUCAGGUGGCUCAAUAAUGACAUCUGAUCCUGCAGGCGGAUCAAACAUGACAACAAAUGCUCCAAUGACAACUCAGAUGCCAAUGACUACGUAAAUAUACAGUAACUGUUACCUCAAGCAUAAUUGAAGAGGAAGAAAAAGACGGUGCGUGACUAUACAAGUGAAUAAUUAAAUGUUUAUAUAUGAUAGACUUUUGUUAUUCACGUGAACCCAUUUCAUUUGGCUAAAUACUCACUGCAUUAAAA
This is a long non-coding RNA of Mytilus californianus (California mussel), 515 nucleotides long. RefSeq lists it as uncharacterized. The record is from RefSeq and is a predicted model, not a curated record. The transcript is spliced from 5 exons. NCBI's taxonomy places the organism in Eukaryota, Metazoa, Mollusca, Bivalvia, Mytilida, Mytilidae.